RNAcentral lists this ribosomal RNA (279 nucleotides) under uncultured bacterium. RNAcentral's name for it is "partial 16S ribosomal RNA". It matches the Rfam family "Bacterial small subunit ribosomal RNA", at positions 506 to 784 of the family's 1533-position model. The record is from RNAcentral.
UGCCAGCCGCCGCGGUAAGACGAAGGUGGCAACCGUUGUUCGGAAUUACUGGGCAUAAAGAGCACGUAGGCGGACUACCAAGUCGGGUGUGAAAUCCCUCGGCCCAACCGAGGAACUGCGCCCGAAACUGCUUUUCUUGAGGGCAGGAGGGGAACGUGGAAUUCCUGGUGGAGCGGUGAAAUGCGUUGAUAUCAGGAGGAACACCGGCGGCGAAGGCGACGUUCUGGCCUGUUUCUGACGCUGAAGUGCGAAAGCGUGGGUAGCAAACAGGAUUAGAUA